Molecule: ribosomal RNA, 252 nt
Filed under: uncultured bacterium
Lineage: Bacteria
Description: partial 16S ribosomal RNA
Rfam family: Bacterial small subunit ribosomal RNA
Source: RNAcentral
UACGUAGGGUGCAAGCGUUAAUCGGAAUUACUGGGCGUAAAGCGUGCGCAGGCGGUUUGGUAAGACAGAUGUGAAAUCCCCGGGCUCAACCUGGGAAUUGCAUUUGUGACUGCCCGACUAGAGUGUGUCAGAGGGGGGUAGAAUUCCAACGUGUGAGCAGUGAAAUGCGUAGAGAUGUGGAGGAAUACCGAUGGCGAAGGCAGCCCCCUGGGAUAACACUGACGCUCAUGCACGAAAGCGUGGGGAGCAAAC